RNAcentral lists this ribosomal RNA (404 nucleotides) under uncultured bacterium. Its description in RNAcentral is "bacterial SSU rRNA". It matches the Rfam family "Bacterial small subunit ribosomal RNA", at positions 355 to 775 of the family's 1533-position model. The record is from RNAcentral.
UGGGGAAUCUUGCGCAAUGGGCGAAAGCCUGACGCAGCAACGCCGCGUGCGGGAAGAAGGCCCUAGGGUUGUAAACCGCUUUCAGUAGGAACGAAAAUGACGGUACCUGCAGAAGAAGGUGCGGCCAACUACGUGCCAGCAGCCGCGGUGACACGUAGGCACCAAGCGUUGUCCGGAUUUAUUGGGCGUAAAGAGCUCGUAGGCGGUUGAGUAAGUCGGGUGUGAAAACUCUGGGCUUAACCCAGAGCCGCCACUCGAUACUGCUCUGACUUGAGUUCGGUAGGGGAGCAGGGAAUUCCUAGUGUAGCGGUGAAAUGCGCAGAUAUUAGGAGGAACACCGGUGGCGAAGGCGCUGCUCUGGGCCGAAACUGACGCUGAGGAGCGAAAGCGUGGGUAGCAAACAG